Molecule: ribosomal RNA, 550 nt
Filed under: uncultured Spartobacteria bacterium
Lineage: Bacteria; Pseudomonadati; Verrucomicrobiota; Spartobacteria
Description: bacterial SSU rRNA
Rfam family: Bacterial small subunit ribosomal RNA
Source: RNAcentral
UCGAGAAUUUUUGACAAUGGGGGAAACCCUGAUCGAGCGACGCCGCGUGGAGGAUGAAGGUCUUCGGAUUGUAAACUCCUGUCAUUGGGGAACAAGGUGCAUACGUUAACUGCGUGUGCAUUGAUAGUACCCGAAGAGGAAGAGACGGCUAACUCUGUGCCAGCAGCCGCGGUAAUACAGAGGUCUCAAGCGUUGUUCGGAUUCAUUGGGCGUAAAGGGUGCGUAGGCGGCGCGGUAAGUCGGGUGUGAAAUCUCGGAGCUUAACUCCGAAACUGCAUUCGAUACUGCCGUGCUUGAGGACUGGAGAGGAGACUGGAAUUUACGGUGUAGCGGUGAAAUGCGUAGAUAUCGUAAGGAAGACCAGUGGCGAAGGCGGGUCUCUGGACAGUUCCUGACGCUGAGGCACGAAGGUCAGGGGAGCAAACGGGAUUAGAUACCCCGGUAGUCCUGACAGUAAACGGUGCACGUUUGGUGUGGGAGGAUUCGACCCCUUCUGCGCCGGAGCUAACGCGUUAAACGUGCCGCCUGGGGAGUACGGUCGCAAGAUUAC